Molecule: transfer RNA, 70 nt
Filed under: Ogcocephalus nasutus (shortnose batfish)
Lineage: Eukaryota; Metazoa; Chordata; Actinopteri; Lophiiformes; Ogcocephalidae
Also listed under: 2 other names
Description: tRNA-Ile
Rfam family: tRNA
About the family: Transfer RNA (tRNA) molecules are approximately 80 nucleotides in length. Their secondary structure includes four short double-helical elements and three loops (D, anti-codon, and T loops).
Source: RNAcentral
GGGGCCGUGCCUGAAACAAAGGGUUACUUUGAUAGAGUAAAUAAUGGGGGUUAAACUCCCCCCAGCUCCU